RNAcentral lists this unclassified non-coding RNA (245 nucleotides) under uncultured fungus. RNAcentral's name for it is "sequence contains ITS1, 5.8S rRNA gene". The stretch from base 197 to 245 matches the Rfam family "5.8S ribosomal RNA", at positions 1 to 49 of the family's 154-position model. The record is from RNAcentral. Lineage: Eukaryota; Fungi.
UUUCCGUAGGUGAACCUGCGGAAGGAUCAUUACCGAGUGAGGGUCUCACGGCCCGACCUCCAACCCCGUGUCUAACGACCUCUGUUGCUUUGGCGGGCCCGCCCCUGGCCGCCGGGGUUCGCCCUGGCCCGCGCCCGCCAGAGACCCCCCAAAAUCUGCUGAACCGUGUCGUUCUCAGUCAAAAACAAAUGAACAAAACUUUCAACAACGGAUCUCUUGGUUCUGGCAUCGAUGAAGAACGCAGC